This 442-nucleotide ribosomal RNA is filed under the name uncultured bacterium. RNAcentral describes it as "partial 16S ribosomal RNA". It matches the Rfam family "Bacterial small subunit ribosomal RNA", at positions 338 to 795 of the family's 1533-position model. The record is from RNAcentral.
CCGUAGGGAGGCAGCAGUGGGGGAUAUUGCACAAUGGGGGGAACCCUGAUGCAGCGACGCCGCGUGGGUGAAGAAGGCUUUCGGGUUGUAAACUUCUUUUGACAGGGAAGAGUAGAAGACGGUACCUGUCGAAUAAGCCACGGCUAACUACGUGCCAGCAGCCGCGGUAAUACGUAGGUGGCAAGCGUUGUCCGGAUUUACUGGGUGUAAAGGGCGUGUAGCCGGGUUGACAAGUCAGAUGUGAAAUCCUGCGGCUUAACCGCAGAACUGCAUUUGAAACUGUUGAUCUUGAGUACUGGAGAGGCAGACGGAAUGCCUAGUGUAGCGGGGAAAUGCGUAGAUAUUAGGAGGAACACCAGUGGCGAAGGCGGUCUGCUGGACAGCAACUGACGGUGAGGCGCGAAAGCGUGGGGAGCAAACAGGAUUAGAUACCCUUGUAGUC